RNAcentral lists this ribosomal RNA (253 nucleotides) under uncultured bacterium. RNAcentral describes it as "partial 16S ribosomal RNA". It matches the Rfam family "Bacterial small subunit ribosomal RNA", at positions 524 to 776 of the family's 1533-position model. The record is from RNAcentral.
UACGUAGGGGGCAAGCGUUGUCCGGAUUUAUUGGGCGUAAAGAGCGUGUAGGCGGCUAGGUAGGUCCGUUGUGAAAACUCGAGGCUCAACCUCGAGACGUCGAUGGAAACCAUCUAGCUAGAGUCCGGAAGAGGAGAGUGGAAUUCCUGGUGUAGCGGUGAAAUGCGCAGAUAUCAGGAGGAACACCGAUGGCGAAGGCAGGUCUCUGGGCCACUACUGACGCUGAGAAGCGAAAGCAUGGGGAGCGAACAGG